GCAAUCCAGUGCCUUGGCGUAUUCGACGGCCCGGCUGACGCCGUCGCGGAAUUCCGCGACGCGAUCGGGAAGGAUCGCAAUCCCGCGCUCGCCCGCGCCCCAGUUGCCCGCGGGCAGAUUAUGCAGCACCUGGGUGAGGCCGUGCUGCUGCAACUGCUCGCCGAGAACCGCUUUUUCGAAGUCAUAGGGAAACAGAUACUCCACACCCGCGAACCCGGCGGCCUUCGCUGCUGCGAAGCGUUCGAUGAACGGCAACUCGUUGAAGAGCAUGGUUAGAUUGGCUG
This 284-nucleotide unclassified non-coding RNA is filed under the name Hevea brasiliensis (rubber tree). Lineage: Eukaryota; Viridiplantae; Streptophyta; Magnoliopsida; Malpighiales; Euphorbiaceae. The record is from RNAcentral.